AUGGUCCCUCCUGAUGCCCGGAGACAGCCCGUGAAGUACCUCGGGCGCCGUCGGUGUGGAGAUCGCCUGCAUGAGCAAGGCUCUGAUCGGAUCGUACGUGUGGCAGCUGGGCAGUUUAGCGAUGUAGAGCCCGAGCCUGCCGCGCCGCAUGAGUGUGCCGCUUCCUGGUUUAUCGGUGACGGCUUGAUCAGAUCGGACGAAGAAGUCCAUGCAGAUGCAGCCGCCGGGAGAUCCGCGUAUGCGAUCCGGAUGGAUGCCUACGCCGGACGUAUUGCAUCUAAGGAUCGCCGGAUUCUUUUGGUGGCUAAUGAAAAAACUAAUCUAAUGAGAAUUUCUAAACCUGAAAUUGAUCUACUGCAGAAGAACUUGAAAAUUGGAUCUAAAUUAUGA
This 390-nucleotide ribosomal RNA is filed under the name Triticum aestivum (bread wheat). RNAcentral's name for it is "partial small subunit ribosomal RNA". Lineage: Eukaryota; Viridiplantae; Streptophyta; Magnoliopsida; Poales; Poaceae. The record is from RNAcentral.